GCCGCCAUUUCCUGUCGGAUCCGGAUUGGUGUAUCCAUUUAAUUCAAGAAAAUGGAGACCGAGCAGCCAGAAGAAACCUUCCCCAACACCGAAACCAAUGGUGAAUUUGGUAAGCGCCCUGCAGAGGACAUGGAAGAGGAGCAAGCCUUUAAAAGAUCUAGAAACACCGAGGAGAUGGUGGAACUGCGCAUUUUGCUUCAGAGCAAGAAUGCUGGGGCAGUGAUAGGAAAAGGAGGCAAGAAUAUUAAGGCACUCCGUACAGACUACAAUGCCAGUGUUUCAGUCCCAGACAGCAGUGGCCCCGAGCGCAUACUGAGUAUCAGUGCUGAUAUUGAAACGAUUGGAGAGAUUCUGAAGAAAAUCAUCCCUACCUUGGAAGAGGGCCUGCAGUUGCCAUCACCCACUGCAACCAGCCAGCUCCCGCUCGAAUCUGAUGCUGUGGAAUGCUUAAAUUACCAACACUAUAAAGGAAGUGACUUUGACUGCGAGUUGAGACUGUUGAUUCAUCAAAGUCUGGCAGGAGGAAUUAUUGGUGUCAAAGGUGCUAAAAUUAAAGAACUUCGAGAGAACACUCAGACAACAAUCAAGCUUUUCCAGGAAUGCUGUCCUCACUCUACUGACAGAGUUGUUCUUAUUGGAGGAAAGCCUGACAGGGUUGUAGAGUGCAUCAAGAUCAUCCUUGACCUUAUAUCUGAGUCUCCCAUUAAAGGACGUGCACAGCCUUAUGAUCCCAACUUUUAUGAUGAAACCUAUGACUAUGGUGGUUUCACAAUGAUGUUUGAUGACCGCCGUGGACGUCCUGUGGGAUUUCCCAUGCGAGGAAGAGGUGGUUUUGACAGAAUGCCUCCUGGUCGGGCUGGGCGCCCCAUGCCUCCUGCUAGAAGAGAUUAUGACGAUAUGAGCCCUCGUCGAGGACCUCCACCACCACCUCCUGGUCGAGGUGGCCGGGGUGGCAGCAGAGCUCGGAAUCUUCCUCUUCCUCCUCCUCCACCACCCAGAGGAGGAGAUCUAAUGGCUUACGACAGAAGAGGAAGGCCUGGGGACCGCUAUGAUGGCAUGGUUGGGUUCAGUGCUGAUGAAACUUGGGACUCUGCAAUUGACACAUGGAGCCCGUCAGAAUGGCAGAUGGCUUAUGAACCACAGGUUGGGUAUUAAUAGUAUUAUUCCUAUGCAGGGGGCCGUGGCUCAUAUGGUGAUCUUGGUGGACCUAUUAUUACUACACAAGUAACUAUUCCCAAAGAUUUGGCUGGAUCUAUUAUUGGCAAAGGCGGUCAGCGGAUCAAACAAAUCCGUCAUGAGUCGGGAGCAUCAAUCAAAAUUGAUGAGCCUUUAGAAGGAUCUGAAGAUCGGAUCAUUACCAUUACAGGAACACAGGACCAGAUACAGAAUGCACAGUAUUUGCUGCAGAACAGUGUGAAGCAGUAUGCAGAUGUUGAAGGAUUCUAAUGCAAGAUAUUUUUUCUUUUUUAUAGUGUGAAGCAGUAUUCUGGAAAGUUUUUCUAAGACUAGUGAAGAACUGAAGGAGUCCUGCAUCUUUUUUUUUUUAUCUGCUUCUGUUUAAAAAGCCAACAUUCCUCUGCUUCAUAGGUGUUCUGCAUUUGAGGUGUAGUGAAAUCUUUGCUGUUCACCAGAUGUAAUGUUUUAGUUCCUUACAAACAGGGUUGGGGGGAGGGCAUGCAAAAACUAACAUUGAAAUUUUGAAACAGCAGCAGAGUGAGUGAAUUUUAUUUUUUGUUCAUUGUUGGUGGUUUUAAAAAUUACCCCCGUGUAAUUAUUGUGAACCCUUGCUUUGUGGUCACUGUAACAUUGGGGGUGGGACAGGGAGGAAAGUAAUAGUCCACGUGUCCCUGGCAUUUGUUCAGAGCAGUGUGCAGAAUGUAACGCUCUUUUGUAAGAAACGUUUUAUGAUUUUUAAAAUAAAUUUAGUGAAUCUAUUUUUGGUGGUCUUUUUUUUUUUUUUUUUUUUUUUAAAGACAAUUUUCAAAUGGUGGUUUGAGUUUUCCAGCCCACCCCUAAACUAAACACUAAGUUUGAUUUUCAGCUCCUCUGUUGGAUAUGAGUGCACCUCUUGGACAUAGGCAAAACACAUGGGCAAUUUAAGUUUGGGUGGUUUCUUCAUGGUUGGAAAGAUGUGGCUUGAUAAAUUUCCAUCACAUAGUCAUGCUUAUAAUAAGCUUGGGAUUUUGUUUUUGCAAAUGUUUGCCACUACUUUUCAACAGUUUUCUAUGUUAGUUGUGGAGAACUAAGGUGGGGAGCAAUAUUAGAAGUUAACCAUCUUAAGUAUAUGCCAGAAUCCUGAUGGGCAAUGAGCUUUAUUAAUCAGAAUAACACUUGGUUAUGGAAGUGGCUGAUGCUGAGUAAAUCCUGGUUAUUUUUGUUAGAUAACCUCUCACCUAUAGACAAACUGUCAACCUGCUAGUGUCUUGUUAGUUGAACUUUGUAAAAAUAUAUAUAUACUUGUUUUACCAUUGUAUGCACAAUGAAAGAAAAAAAGAUGUACCAUUUCUCUGUUGUGUGUUGAAUUAUGUAGGAAAUGUUUGUGAACGAUUCAAAAAAAUGGAAAAAAAGUUCCUGUGGCUGUUUUGUGUAGUAAUUUGGCAUCUGUAUUGAUAGUUAAAAAUACGCAUCUAAAUAAAACUUCCAUGAUGUUA
Molecule: RNA transcript, 2651 nt
Organism: Phodopus roborovskii (desert hamster)
Lineage: Eukaryota; Metazoa; Chordata; Mammalia; Rodentia; Cricetidae
Gene: Hnrnpk
Gene name: heterogeneous nuclear ribonucleoprotein K
Exons: 15
Source: RefSeq, a predicted model, not a curated record